UGGUUCUGGCUGCAGGGCAAGGUGAGAUGAAGGCCUGACCUCUUCCCAGUGGCCAGAAGCAAUGGGUUUCUGCCCCCUAUCAGAAAAGCCCAGGCCAUACCCGAGCUCUCUGAAUGUAGGAAACAGGUUCACCGACCCUGGCCCUUGUCCCUAGAGGUGGCACUUGCACCCAAGGGGGUGAAAAUGGCCCAUGCCCAGGAUUCCCCAGACUGAAACCAAUACUGAGACUGUACCUGUUUCUUCUAGAAGAGGCAGAAGUAGGUAUCUUUAAACUUAGGAGCGGCUGAGUUAGGCGAAAGCCUAAC
Molecule: long non-coding RNA, 305 nt
Filed under: Androctonus crassicauda
Lineage: Eukaryota; Metazoa; Arthropoda; Arachnida; Scorpiones; Buthidae
Source: RNAcentral